CUCUGGACUCUGAAUCCAGCGAUC
This 24-nucleotide non-coding RNA is filed under the name Gallus gallus (chicken). RNAcentral also lists the same sequence under 3 other names. Lineage: Eukaryota; Metazoa; Chordata; Aves; Galliformes; Phasianidae. The record is from RNAcentral.